This 432-nucleotide ribosomal RNA is filed under the name uncultured bacterium. RNAcentral's name for it is "partial 16S ribosomal RNA". It matches the Rfam family "Bacterial small subunit ribosomal RNA", at positions 29 to 506 of the family's 1533-position model. The record is from RNAcentral.
AACGAACGCUGGCGGCAUGCCUAACACAUGCAAGUCGAACGAGACCUUCGGGUCUAGUGGCGCACGGGUGCGUAACGCGUGGGAACCUGCCCUUAGGUUCGGAAUAACUCCCCGAAAGGGGUGCUAAUACCGGAUAAUGUCUUCGGACCAAAGAUUUAUCGCCUUUGGAUGGGCCCGCGUUGGAUUAGCUAGUUGGUAGGGUAAAAGCCUACCAAGGCGACGAUCCAUAGCUGGUCUGAGAGGAUGAUCAGCCACACUGGGACUGAGACACGGCCCAGACUCCUAGGGGAGGCAGAGGGGGGGAAUAUUGGAAAAGGGGCGAAAGCCUGAUCCAGCAAGGCCGGGUGGGGGAUGAAGGCCUUGGGGUUGAAAAGCUCUUUUACCGGGGAUGAUAAGGAAAGUACCGGGAGAAUAAGCCCCGGCUAACUCCGU